Molecule: long non-coding RNA, 4402 nt
Organism: Rhinopithecus roxellana (golden snub-nosed monkey)
Lineage: Eukaryota; Metazoa; Chordata; Mammalia; Primates; Cercopithecidae
Source: Ensembl
GAAGAGUGUUAAUAAUUUCCUGGAUCUGAGAAUGUGGAUUCUUUUCUAAACCAGUAGGUGAUGUAGAAUUUCAAGUUUUAAAUCACAAUGUGAAAAGUGCGUAAUUUUUUUUGUUUUUAGGGACUGACCAUGCGUUUCAACAUACCAACUGGGACCAAUUUACCCCCUGUCAGUUUCAACUCUCAAACUCCUUAUAUUCCUUUCAAUUUGGGAGCCCUGUCAGCAAUGAGUAAUCAACAGCUGGAGGACCUCAUUAAUCAAGGAAGAGAAAAAGUUGUAGAAGCAACAAACAGUGUGACAGCAGUGAGGAUUCAACCUCUUGAAGAUAUAAUUUCAGCUGUAUGGAAGGAGAAUAUGAAUCUCUCAGAGGCCCAAGUACAGGCGUUAGCAUUAAGUAGACAAGCCAGCCAGGAGCUUGAUGUUAAACGAAGAGAAGCAAUCUACAAUGAUGUAUUGACAAAACAACAGAUGUUAAUCAGCUGUGUUCAGCGAAUACUUAUGAACAGAAGGCUCCAGCAGCAGUACAAUCAGCAGCAACAGCAACAAAUGACUUAUCAACAAGCAACACUGGGUCACCUCAUGAUGCCAAAGCCUCCAAAUUUGAUCAUGAAUCCUUCUAACUACCAGCAGAUUGAUAUGAGAGGAAUGUAUCAGCCAGUGGCUGGUGGUAUGCAGCCACCACCAUUACAGCGUGCACCACCCCCAAUGAGAAGCAAAAAUCCAGGACCUUCCCAAGGGAAAUCAAUGUGAUUUUGCACUAAAAGCUUAAUGGAUUGUUAAAAUCAUAGAAAGAUCUUUUAUUUUUUUAGGAAUCAAUGACUUAACAGAACUCAACUGUAUAAAUAGUUUGGUCCCCUUAAAUGCCAAUCUUCCAUAUUAGUUUUACUUUUUUUUAAAAAAUAGGGCAUACCGUUUCUUCCUGACAUUUGUCAGUGAUGUUGCCUAGAAUCUUCUUACACACAUUGAGUACAGAAGAUAUUUCAAAUUGUUUUCAGUGAAAACAAGUCCUUCCAUAAUAGUAACAGCUCCACAGAUUUCCUCUCUAAAUUUUUAUGCCUGCUUUUAGCAACCAUAAAAUUGUCAUAAAGUUAAUAAAUUUAGGAAAGAAUAAAGAUUUAUAUAUUCAUUCUUUACAUAGAAAAACACACAGCUGAGUUCUUAGAGUUGAUUCCUCAAGUUAUGAAAUACUUUUGUACUUAAUCCAUUUCUUGAUUAAAGUGAUUGAAAUGGUUUUAAUGUUCUUUUGACUGAAGUCUGAAACUGGGCUCCUGCUUUUUAUUGUCUCUGUGACUGAAAGUUAGAAACUGAGGGUUAUCUUUGACACAGAAUUGUGUGCAAUAUUCUUAAAUACUACUGCUCUAAAAGUUGGAGGAGUCUUACAGUUAUCUUAGCAUUGUAUAAACAGCCUUAAGUAUAGCCUAAGAAGAGAAUUCCUUUUUCUUCUUUAGUCCUUCUGCCAUUUUUUAUUUUCAGUUAUAUGUGCUGAAAUAAUUACUGGUAAAAUUUCAGGGUUGUGGAUUAUCUUCCACACAUGAAUUUUCUCUCUCCUGGCACGAAUAUAAAGCACAUCUCUUAACUGCAUGGUGCCAGUGCUAGUGCUUCAUCCUGUUGCUGGCAGUGGGAUGUGGACUUAGAAAAUCAAGUUCUAGCAUUUUAGGAGGUUAACACUGAAGUUGUGGUUGUUAGGUUCACACCCUGUUUUAUAAACAACAUCAAAAUGGCAGAACCAUUGCUGACUUUAAGUUCACAUGAGGAAUGUGCUUUAACAAUUCCCAGUACUAUCAGUAUUGUGAAAUAAUUCCUCUGAAAGAUAAGAAUCACUGGCUUCUAUGCGCUUCUUUUCUCUCAUCAUGUUCUUUUACCCCAGUUUCCUUACAUUUUUUAAAAUUGUUUCAGAGUUGUUUUUUCUUUAGAUUUUGAGACAAUUAUUAAAUCAAAAUUAAUUCAUCCAAUACCCCUUUACUAGAAGUUUUACUAGAAAAUGUAUCACAUUUUAUUUUUUCUUAAUCCAGUUCUGUAAAAAUGACCUAUAAUUUUAUUCAUAUACAAUUUUGAUUACUUGAAUUCUAAAAGAAAACAUUGUUUUUGGCUAUGGGAGUCAACUCAACAUGGCAAAACCAUUUUGAGAUGAUGAUAUAACAGGUAGUGAAACAGCUUAAGAAUUCCAGAAAAAAAAAAAAAACUGGGUGUAGGCUUUGCUUUAGGUAUCACUGGAUUAGAAUGAGUUUAACAUUAGCUAAAACUGCUUUGAGUUGUUUGGAUGAUUAAGAGAUUGCCAUUUUUAUCUUGGAAGAACUAGUGGUAAAACAUCCAAGAGCACUAGGAUUGUGAUACAGAAUUUGUGAGGUUUGGUGGAUCCACGCCCCUCCCCCCCACCUUCCCAUGAUGAAAUAUCACUAAUAAAUUCUGUAUAUUUAGAUAUUAUGCUAGCCAUGUAAUCAGAUUUAUUUAAUUGGGUGGGGCAGGUGUGUAUUUACUUUAGAAAUAAUGAAAAAGACAAGAUUUAUGAUAAAUAUUUGAAGGCAGUACACUCUGGCCAACUGUUAUCAGUUGGUAUUUCUACAAGUUCGGAAUAUUUUAAACCUGAUUUACUAGACCUGGGAAUUUUCAACAUGGUCUGAUUAUUUACUCAAAGACAUAGAUGUGAAAAUUUUAGGCAACCUUCUAAACCUUUUUCACCAUGGAUGAAACUAUAACUUAAAGAAUAAUACUUAGAAGGAUUAAUUGGAAAUCAGAGUUUGAAAUAAAACUUGGACCACUUUGUAUACACUCUUCUCACUUGACAUUUUAGCUACAUAAUAUGUACUUUGAGUAUAACAUCAAGCUUUAACAAAUAUUUAAAGACAAAAAAAUCGCAUCAAUAAAGUACUAAAAGGCUCAUUUUUAUAUUUGUUUUAGAUGUUUUAAAUAGUUGCAAUGGAUUAAAAAUGAUGAUUUAAAAUGUUGCUUGUAAUACAGUUUUGCCUGCUAAAUUCUCCACAUUUUGUAACCUGUUUUAUUUCUUUGGGUGUAAAGCGUUUUUGCUUAGUAUUGUGAUAUUGUAUAUGUUUUGUCCCAGUUGUAUAGUAAUGUUUCAGUCCAUCAUCCAGCUUUGGCUGCUGAAAUCAUACAGCUGUGAAGACUUGCCUUUGUUUCUGUUAGACUGCUUUUCAGUUCUGUAUUGAGUAUCUUAAGUACUGUAGAAAAGAUGUCACUUCUUCCUUUAAGGCUGUUUUGUAAUAUAUAUAAGGACUGGAAUUGUGUUUUUAAAGAAAAGCAUUCAAGUAUGACAAUAUACUAUCUGUGUUUUCACCAUUCAAAGUGCUGUUUAGUAGUUGAAACUUAAACUAUUUAAUGUCAUUUAAUAAAGUGACCAAAAUGUGUUGUGCUCUUUAUUGUAUUUUCACAGCUUUGAAAAUAUGUGCACAUGUUUCAUAGAAAAUGUAUAGCUUUUGUUAUCCUAUAUAAUGGUGGUUCUUUUGCACAUUUAGUUAUUUAGUAUUGAGAGGUCACGAAGUUUGGUUAUUGAAUCUGUUAUACUAAAUUCUGUAAAGGGAGAUCUCUAAUCUCAAAGAGAAUUUACAUACCAGGAAGCCCAUGUGUGUUUGUGUUAGUUUUGGAUGUCUUUGUGUAAUCCAGCCCCAUUUCCUGUUUCCCAACAACUGUAACACUCAUUUUAAGUCAAGCAGGGCUACCAACCCACACUUGAUAGAAAAGCUGCUUACCAUUCAGAAGCUAUAGCAGGUAGAUGGAAACCUUAUUAUCUGGCCUCCAAAGAAGCUGAAUAUUUUGUAGCCUUCCCUUAGCUAUGUUCAUUUUCCCUCCAUUAUCAUAAAAUCAGAUCCAUAUUUAUGUGCCCCAAACAAAACUUCUUAAGAGCAGUUACAUAUCUGUCCCAGUAGCCCUUGUUUCCUUUGAGGGUAGCAUGUUGUGAGGCUAUAGAGACUUAUUCAGCAGUAAAACAGGUCAAUCCUUUUACAUGUCUAUUAUACUAAAAAUUAUGUUCAGGGUAUUACUACUUUAUUUCACCAGACUCAGUCUCAAGUGACUUGGCUAUCUCCAAAUCAAAUCUAUCCUUAGAGAAUAAACAUUUUUCUACCGUUAAUUUUUUUCAAGUCUAUAAUCUGAGCCAGUCCCCACGGAGUGACCAAGUUUCAGAAAUGCUUUCAUCUUCGCAACAUUUUAUAUAUACUAUUAUAUGGGGUGAAUAAAGUUUUAAAUCCGAAAUAUAUACUGUGUCAAAGCUCAAUAUGUGCCAGGUAACUAAACUGUUCACAUCACUAGCAUUGGAUGUAAUAACAGGAUAGUGGCUCACCCCCAAGAGCUGCCAUAAAAUUCCACUAUGAUAGAUACUACCACCGUCUCUUUGGAACAACCUUCCUGAUACCAUUGUGCCAGUGAACUAAGGGAAUCAUCCUUCCUC